CUGAGCUGGACACCAAAGGGUGGGCAGAUGGCUCCCUAGAAGGGCAUUCCACCAUGAAGGAAGGGCACUGUGAGGCACAGCCAGGCCAGCAUUCACAAGUGCUCAGGGAGAAGCUAGUGGUGCGAUGUGGUGCAAGCGUGGGCCUGCUGGGCAAUUGGCCGCAGCUGAGACUAGAGAAGAGGGCUGCAGGCCACGCUAAUGCUUGUGGGGUCUUUCACACGCCGUGUCCUGAAGCCACAGCACACGUUUCAUCAGAUGGAAGAGAACGGUGCCUGAGCCGACAUCUUCACUUCAAUAAUUAUGUACAAAUUUUAAUCAGCACCAUGAAAAGCCGUGACCAGGCGCACCAAGCUUUUAACUUCAAGUAUCUGCCUUCAAAUCUAGAAAAACUGAGGUGAGUAAUAGUAGACACAUGUCACUACAAAUCCGUCAAAACCCACAGACUGUGCAACACAGAGUGACCCCUACUGACAUGAAUGAUGGACUUCAUCUCAUGGUGAAUCAAGACUGGCUCAUCAAUUGUACAAAGGUGCCACACUAAUGCUAGACGUGAACGACAAAGGAAUGGGGUGGCGGGACAUGGGAAUUCUCUGUACUUGCCACUGACUUUCUCUGUAAACCUAGAACUACUCAGAAAAAAAAAAAAAGCCUGUUCAUUGAAAAAAUAUUUUUAAAAAAUGAGUUGAUUUUAAACAAAUGUACAGUUUGACCAUUUUUUUGAACACAUGUAAGUAGGUGUGGCCAAAAGGCAGUCUGCAGAUGCGGAGGUGUGAACAGCACUGUAAGGUGGUGAGGGGCGGAGUCAGAGACCUGGGCAAGAAUGGGAGGGCACGGGCUGCCCCCGGGCCUCCAGGGAACGCCAAGGAGGGAAGAGGCCCGCUCCAAACCCCCGCCCUGUUCUAAGCCACUGGGAUCCUGACACCACCUCUGCCCCUCGGUCCCCAGUCGAGUCACUCACCGGGGCGCCCAAGACCCGGCCAGGGCACACCUCCUGCUUCCAAAUCCUAAGACUUCCUUCCCUGGCCUUGAGCUUCCCAAAUACCAUUUUCCCCUAAUUGGUUGACUUUAUAAUCAAGAAACAAAAAGUCUGUAAAAAAUAAGUGUUCAUUAAGCAGUUAACAGCUCCUGGGGGACUAAGGGAUCUCUCUGGUUAUCUAAAAGCUCUGAGAUGCCCAUUUCGUUCUGGAUACCAUCCGAGAUAGUUUCCAGCCCUCCCCGGAGCCCGGGAGUGCCUGGCAUGGCCCUCUCAUCAUCACCACGGUCCUAAGGUGACAAGGGGACUCUAGACCCUGAACAACGCAGCAAGACCACAGGCUCCGCCACUUCCUGAGGGAAUAAGGGCUGGGAAAGUACUUUGGGGUGUCGUUCUGCUUUGGUUCUCUUCAUUGUUUUAACGGGACUGGGGAAAUCAGCUCGGGGCAUCUGGGGUUUGCCUGCUUCUGCCCCAGGGGCGCCAUGAAGCCCUGGAGUGCCUGAUUGUCCCUGAUGAACUUUUGUGCAGACCACAGGCUGCUCUGGGAAGACACAGCCCGGGCAAAGUCGUGCCUGGGUUUCCACGCUGCGUGCACGAGCCCUGGGUUGGCCGGGAUGUAUUAAGAACACAGUGCCGGGCUGGAAUCGGAACAGAUCUCAGCAAACCUGCAGAGAUGAGUCACUGUCUGGAACCCAAGGAAAACCUGACAAGGCCUCCUUACAGGGUCCAGAGGAACAACGGCAAAGACCUCAUAAGCGCGUGCACUGAGCUCAUGAUCCACGUAGGAAGCGCUGGUGGGCACCCCAAAAACAUCCUCCACCGCCUACAAGAAUAGAAAAUUCUAACUCUGCAUCUCAAGAUUUCAAAAGUUUCUCUUUUCUGGAGGAAAACAGGGCCUAAAUGAUCUGGCCUGUCUUCGGUACAAAUAACUUAGGGAUGUUUGGAAAAACGUAAAAGGAUUAUUUUUAAUAAAAUGGUGAUUUCCAGAAAUAGAGCCUGUAGUUUACAGAAGUAAUCAGCCUCAGAUCUCGAGCUUCCUACCUGUUGAGCGAAGACCACCCUCUUACAAAUUCCCCCCCACAAAUGCAAGCUCUUUGCGCAGCUAAUCUCCUGUACCUUUGUGAAGGCCGGGGCCCUGGACAUUACAGGGCCAUUUAUGAAAAUGGGAGAGGUAAUUGGGACAUCUUUUGAAAUCAGGUCCCCUCCGCCUUGCCAGCCCCACCAGCCCUCUAAUUUCAGUUGGCCGGGCUGUGGAGGAUGUUUACAUAUGCUUCUUCCUGGAAUUUCACUCUUUGCUUCAGGAGUGGGCAAUUAGAGAGAAUUAGGGCCUAUUUGGCGUAUGUUUACCGUUAAUGGAGAGAGUGGCAGAGGCAGCCCCAGGAAAGGCAGGCUGCUGGUCUAAUUGAAGCUGGCAAUUUCUCGAUUCCUCAUUUCAGCUCGCAGGUAUUGUAGCAACCAAGGUCAGAAAACAAAGGCUGCAGCCCACCGUGGUAACAGCCGGGUGCAGGCCUGACCGAGGGUUUUGUGAGCUAUUUAUUCCCGCACACUGAAGCACAAAGAGAGAGCUCGAGAUGUUUUCAAAGCCGGGGCUGCACCGGGCAGCCAGCACAGGCCUGGUUACUGAUCACUCUUCCAGAAGCUGCCACCCUGACGGCUCCUGUAGGAAAUUCUCAGCCGAGCAGGCCACGGCGCCAACUGAGGUGUUGCCCAGGGUCUCGUGACCAAAAGGCACGGGGUGAAGCCACCAGGGAUGGUGCGGCCAGCCACACCCUCCUGGGACUGCGGCCACGGGCCAGUCUCAUUACACAGUGAACGCUCCACAGCCCAGAAAGGUUUUCCAGGCCUGGCCGGCGGCCCGCCUCAUUAAAAGAAUACCCCAUAAAACACGAUCCUUGCCCCACCGCACGCAGCAGCCCCUUGGCGCUCACUCGGGGCAUGAGCGCCUGUAGGAUCUGUGUUCAGAAAAAGCUAGCCAUGGGGACUGGCUAAUGACUUCGAGCCCAGCGCCCGUGCCGGUCAAGCAGGAGCCGGCCACAGGCAGUGGGCUUCACAGCCAGGACCUGCUGCCUCGGGGUGGGGUGCCAGCUCUCUUAGGUCUCUGGUUUCCUCAUCUCUGAAGGAGAGGGGGUUAGAAGGCAGUGGACCAGUGAUCUCCGGGACCCCCCACCCACUCUAAAAACCUAGCGAACAAACCAACCAACUAAGCACAGAUGACCACUGAGGCAGCCAGAAGGAACCAGAGCUCCACAGGCCCUCAGAUGACCCUGAUCCUGCACUGCCCAUUUCACAGAUGGGGAAACUGAGGCCCUGAGGGCUGGAGACAGGGGCCAAGGUCACACCCACCGUUGGGGCUGAACGGGGGCUGGAGCCAGGUCUCCAGAAGGCUGCUGCCUGACUCGAGGCCCAGAGCACUCGUUGAGAACUCUCUCUUCUGACUGACAAGCCCAAGGAGUGGACAGUGUGCCCUGCCCCCCACCAGGAGGCUAAUAGGGGCCCAAGCUGGACACCUAGGGACCUCCGUCCCCUCCUCUGAUGAAACAGGAUCCUUGCCUUCCCAGCACUGACAUCCUGUGCUUCUCCUGCCUCACAGAAUACGCAGAACUGACAGGCUACUGCCCCGUUUUACAGAUGGGGAAACUGAGGCCCAGAAGCCAGCAGUAACACAGAUUUUUGGCCAAGACGGAGAACUGGGACUCUUUCCUCUCAUGGCAGGGACUUUGGCCGUGGUUCCUCCAGAGGGGCAGGAGCCCUCCAGGCAGUCUGGAGCAGUGGGGUCGCUCAGGGCUGCCCCUGACGCUGUAGGCUGUGCUGACCGCCCCGCUCAGCCUCUCUAACCAAAACCACCAGCCCCGGGGAUCUCCGAGCCCCCAGCCCCCAUUUCUUAACCUGGUAGGAACGACUCUGUCUCCACCCACAGGAUGGCCCAGAGAAAGGGCCGGAAAGGCAGAAGCAGCCACACAGCUGCGGCCCUGGACGGCCAGCACAGACGUGCGGUCAGUCCUUGGCCCUCUAACUGUCCUCCUUCCCCAACUUCCCAUUCUGUGUCCUUGGCCCCAUUCUGUCUCUUUGGCCGUCCCUCGGGCAUCAGGCCCAGUUUGAUCAAACCCUUGUUUACAGGCACAGCCACUCUGACGCUUCCUCCUGAGAAACUGGCAGAAAGAAAGCCCCAGAACGGAGGAGCACGAGCAGGUCCAGGGUCACGCUGACGGGGUGGCUGGUUAAGCGCCAUUGUGCAGCCUCUUGUCUGGGCCUCGGCGCUCCCGACACGCACACAAGGGCAAGGGGCCCGCGUCAGCCCCGGAGGGAACACACACACACACUCCGCUUCAGAGGAAGGUAAUUGAGGUUUUCGUCUUUUCAUCUGAAGAAAAGGCACCUUCUAUUGAAAGAAUGUAUUCACAGAACCUGGGAAAACUCAUCUGCACUCAGCCCUCCCAAUUAUCCCCAGGUGGCUGGACUCCAUGGGGGCCCCCCACAUUCCUUUCUGCCUGCGUCUUUGUUUCCAUCUGAAACGGCCCUGGGAGCUCCCAGGCUAAGAGUCUCCUCCUUAAGCCCCUGCCAAAGACCCUAUUCACUGUGCCGAGAAGCCAGGCAAAAGGUGGGGGGCAGCCUUCCUUUUCCCGACUCCCGGGGUGGGGGACUUAAGAACUCUCCAUCUGGAUUUUUUUUUAAGCCCAAAGAAAUUGGAGAGCAAUUAGGAGAGUCACGACUACCCCCUCCACCAUCCUCCUCUCCCUUAAUGAAUUCCUCUCUCACACACAUCCCCCCAAGGUGGGGCCUCCCAGGGACUCAGCUCCCCAGCACCUGCUCUGCCCACUGGGCUCCACGAUCACCAAGGACUUUGUUGCGAAGGGAGCUGAGAAGGCAAAUAUAGAUAUGUCCCGAGAGUUUCUCACCACAGUCAGUUCCCAAAAGCGUGGCUAGGGGGAUCGGCUUUCCACAGUGAAGAUUAUGAUACGGGACCAAGUGUCUAAAACCAAGAAGGCACUAGAAAUUCCAGGAUGCAUGGGCACCUCAAACUUGGGCCUCUCGGGCACCGGGCAGCUCACCUUGGCACAGAUAAGGCGUCCCUACACCUCUUCUGGAUCCGACUGAACUCGGGACCCCUCUCCCUGGCACUUCUGUUCUGCUGCCAGGCCUGCAGGGUGCCCAGGAGGGGACACUGCUGGGGCCAGGCCUCCUCCCAACAGAGUCUCAAGGGCUCCCUCCAUUCGCACCUUCCCUGGCUCUGAAACACGGACUCAUUCCACGCCAAGGGGGCGAGGCUGCCUCUGUGACAUCCCUUCCCUCAAGGUGCCCCAAAGCACCUGGCUGCCAGGCCUCGAGGUUGCCUGUUGGCACCGGACACUGUAGUGAGAGCCUUCCCCACCUAGUCUCGUCUCUCUCUUUCAAGACAGGAACCCCACACUUGAGAUGGCUUCAUUUGAAAAGAUACAACUCUCUUCCAGAAUCUUCCAUCGGCUCAAACUGGGUAUGGGAGACCAGGAUAUACUUCCUUGUUCCUUCUUUAGGAGAGGGGACAGGGUGACAAGCAGCAGCGGGGAGGGGGACCUCGUUCUUGGGACUCACUCACUUGUUAAAUUCUAGUCUUCUAAAAAGAAGAUGCUCCCAGUGCCCCAGACUUUCCCAAUUCAGCUGACAAUGCCAGUUUCUACACUGUCCACUGUCCUUUAACCCUUUGGGACCACAAUCCGCCUCCCUCUGCAUCACCUUCUGUGUAAAGCCGCCUUUCUCUUUUGAAGGGAAAAUUCAUUAGCAAGCUCAUUAAAGAUGGGCCCUUUUUUUUCUUUCUGGAAGUCAGAUUGCUCAUAAAAAACACAUUUAAGUUACUUCGUGUAAAUGAAUGAACAAGAAACACGUGCAUCGUGUUGCCCUCAAGUCUUGCCAGGUUUUGACAUUAUUUGGAGAAAUGUGCUUACAAAUACAUUUGGGGUUUGAAUAACAACUCAGGAGACACAGGGUCAGGGCCCUAAAAGCUGCCAUCAGCCCCACAAGCCACCUGCAGGUGGGAAAAUGCAGGGGGAGCGAAGGGGCCGGGUUUUCCUUCCCAUGAGCGCAGAGGCGAAGCUGUGCUGGCGGCUCCCUUCCCCACCCACCCAGGUGGAGGCAGGUGGGACAGGCGGCCAGCUUUCAGACAAGACCACCACCUCUUCCCCGACAUCUGUGCCCACCCAGAAGCGCCCAGCUGGAGGCGGGCCCCAGGGAACAGCCUAGCUCAAUGUAGGCCUCCUGCCUGUCUUGCCCAUCGGGGUCUCAUUUCCACCCCUUCCUGCUCAGGGAUGGGCCAAUCCAUCCAAAAAGAAUUUUCCUGAAAACAAUCAUUUCUUUCAUCACUUGAGGACGGCCUUUCUGUAAUUCCUGGGAUGAUCAACUGCGAGGCUGAUUUAUGAUGUUACGUUUCGACUUCUUUAAUUGAGAACUUGAUCUAUUUCUAUUUAUUUUCUGCUCAGUAACACACAAAACCCGAAAUACGUUGUUUGCCUGAGACUGAACAUUCACAAGUGUCUCUGAAAUAGAACUCGGCCCGGCCCAUCCACUGAGGAGGGGGAGGCGUGGGGGUCAGCCGUCUGGGACGGGCUGGGGUCUCGCCUUCACCUUGACUCUGCUCCUCGGCUCAGCCCACCUUGAGCGUGUCCUGAGCUGCCCCUGACGAAGUGUCUAGAAGCUGUGCAGACUAGCUGCACAGAUCUUUCUGGUAAGCUCCAGAUACGACACCCCCCCAGGCGUCCCGCAUCCUGCCUUGUGUAAAGCUCCCCUCCCAGGCUUCUUCCCACGUCACUGUGUUUGCAGGGGGCUCAGCAAAUGCCAGCUACGAAGUAAAUAUCACAGGGCAGAGCGUUCCCGGUGCCCAUUCCUAGGCUGAGCCCUGGGCACACACUCCCCACCUCGACCAGCUCUCCAGAGAGCGAAACCAGCAGACAGAGGCGAAGCCCCGGGUCUGGAUAUCGCGGCCCCUCUCUGCCUGCACUCACGGGUUUUGUUUAAAAAUCAGAUCCCCACCGCAUUUCCAUUUCAGGGGAGAAGGGCAGGGCCGUGCAAGAGCUGUGUCAGAAACCUCCGUUUGAUGAAAGAGCAUCAUGGAAGCUGUACUGGAAACCCAAGACCCCCCGGGGAGGGCAGGGGUCCAGCCGCUCUGCCCCCCGGGCAGCAGGCCGCGAAAGGCUGAGCACCCGGGGGCAGGGGCCCAGCUCUGGCACAGAGCUCGUGCAUCACCUCCUGUCUCAGAGACCCCACGUGUGAGUGUCGAGGGGGGGACGUGGCACUGGACCAAGGGAAGUGCUGGGGCCCACUCGAGGCUCCACACAUGUCCGGGGAAUUGAAUCAGCUUCGUCCCCAGCCUCCAGGGAUUUCUCUCUCCCCUGGACCAGCCUGGCAGCCUACCUGCACUCAUUCACUCACCCUAGUCGCUACUCCAGGAGCAUCAGAUGUGAGGCACGUCAGACACAGAGCCAGCCACACACUAGCACAGCCCCACCCAGUUGUGGACACCCCUCUGCCCCUCCAAGAAACUAGGGCUGGACCCUGCCACGGGCUCAGCCACUGGGACCCCAGAAAGGAAGGUACCUCAGCUGAGCCUCCUCUCCUUCCACCUUGCGUAGCUGCCGCACAGGCCACAUCACUGUGUGGGACCUCCCAGGGCACCCAACUAGACCCUCUGGUCCUUAAGGCAAAGCUGGUCUUAGGCACCCCAGAAGAGCCAACCCCGAGUCCCCACGGCCCCAUGGAUGCAUCUUCACUAAAUGAACCGCAGACAGACAAACGACGAGUCCUGGGGUGAAGCGUGUGGCUGUAACCCUUGGCUUUCUUCUUCUCUACCAUUAGUGAUUUCAUUUAAACAAACAAAAACAUUGCCAUCUCACUGCCAUUUCAGGGGUGAGGAAAGAGGCCGAGAGAAGAACCCACUCAGAAACCACUAUUUGAUUAAAGGACAUCGUGAAACCCCCAGGUGGGAGCAACCAGCACGUUCUCGGGGACUGGCAUCGCCAUGGCUUUGGGAGAAAUGUUUUUCUAGCUAGGGCAGGGCAAUGCACCCCAGUUCACUUUAUUAACAUGCUCAGCAAAGCUUUGUUGACGACCUACUAAGUUAUAGGUCAGUUCUCAAGGAGGCGCCUUACUUACCAUGCCGGGCUGCAGUAUGCCGUCGCCCCAGGUGGCCCCCACACUCGCUGGCUUGGCGAGGCAAGGGUCUGGGCUCCAGGCAGCUUCCAGACCCCCAGACCCCCCGGUGGUAUAGAAGAAGUCACCCUUGGCAGCAGCCCCUCCCCAGGUUAAAUGUGCACAUUCUUGAACAGAGACACAAGCUCAACCUAACAGAAUCGUGGUGUCCCAAGAACGCAAGAAACUCACCCCAAACCAGGAGGUGGCGACGGGCACAGGGUGGGCGUGAGGCGCCAGGCGGCCAUCAGGAAGGACGUGGUCCAGGGUGGGGGUCCUCCGGGGGUUCUUCCAUCCCUUCCGUCCAGUUCUUCAGCCAACCCGACCAAGUUGCAGCCCAUGUCCCAAGGACGGGGCCGACCUUGGGGAGGGACAGAAAGUUAGAAAGAUCGAAAGACAAGCACCCCAGAAAAACCACCAACACCCCAAGAAAAAGCACAGAGCCCAAUCUCACCUGUGGUGUGGUUGUCAGUGGAGGGAGGUGGCUCGUGGGGACGGGCCAUGGGCAAGGGAUGCAACAGGCCCAGGUGGCAGCCCCCAUGAGCCCUGGGGCAGGGCACAGCCCAGGACUCACAGGGACAGGGCGGCAAUACGGGCAGGCCAUGGGUGACUCCUGUUAGGACAUGACGACAAGGGAUCUGGACGGAGGGAGGGGACAGGACAGGUCUCGCUGCAUCCCACGGUCACUUAGACCCUAGGAAGUCAGUCCCACGGCUGGAAGCAUUUGAGGAUGGCUGGGGGAGGUGGCCUGACAGCAAGAGCUUGUCCCAUGGACACUGGGGACCCACUGGAACCCCGGGCAGCACUGAAGGGGAGGGGCAUUUGGACCCAUAGCAGGGCAAAAGGCCAGCAGGCAGGCCAGGUAACCACAGACGUGGGCUCAGCAAGGAAAAGCAACCCGUUAGGCAGAGGGCGAGACAGCGGAGCCCAGGGCAUGAGCCAGGUGACUCGGCACAGAGGAGGGGGAAGUGGGCCAGGCUGAGCAACAGACUAUGGCAAGCAGCCUCAGGUGGGCAGCCGGCAGAAGCGGAGCCUGCAGAGCUCCCCCGAGGGUCCUAGCCAUCUGUCCUUUGCAUGAGACAGGCCCCAGCCAAUGCCUGGGGGGCAAAGGAGCUGGUUUUAGCCCCAGUGAAGGAAGGCAUCUUGGAGGGAGGGGUCCAAAUCACACACCUCAACUCAAGAGGGAGACCUUUGUGGCCAGAGCCCGAAAGGACACACACCACACUGUCCUAUAUUCCCACCUUGGUCCUGAGUUCAGGGCCAGGGGUCCAGGACAGUCAUCAGCACUCAGCGACAGGAUGGAGUGCGGGAGGCAGAGAGAGCAGGCGGGGCUGGCUCGGACCAGCGGCAAGCACAGGCAGUCUGAGGUUCCUCUGGGGUUUGAAUUAAAGGUUCCAAAGGAAGUCCAGCCAGGCCCGCCCCUCGCACCGUCCUGCAUGCCUACUACAGAGCGGGGAAUCCACCGCUCCAGCGCCUGGGACAGCCGUGAGGCCGCCUGUGGCAGAAGCAACCCCCCGGCCUGCCCUCCCAGGGGUGGCAGAGGCCAUCAAGGGACGCGCUAGCGUGGCGGGUGCCCAGCCCGUGCCGGGCUGUGGGCUUGCUGAGUAAGGAUCAACUGUUGAAUGACGGGAUGAACGCAUGAGUGAAUGAAGGCGUGAGACCAGCAAGACCCCACUCAAACGGGGCUGAGGAUGGGGCGACACCCAUUCCGCAGUCAAAGCAAACGGCCCCUCCACCCUUUUGACCUCAAACUCCUUGCACCCCGAUGCCUCCCGUCUAGCAGCUCAGGUGUGGUGGCCGAGUUCCUUCAUUGACUCACCUGUCCAAACAGACAUCCCACAUACUCUUACUGAGCCCCACUUUUUUGCCAAGCUGGUACUGGGACACCCCAAGGAGGUGUGGGCUGGCCUAGGGUACCCCCAGAGGAUGGGGUUAGGACAUGAUGGAGAAGCAGGGGAGACGAAGGGGAGAUGGAGAACAGAAACGGAGGCAGGAAAAGCAGAAAAACAGAAACUCAGAAUUGGGGGCAUCUCCUGGCCUCACUCCUCUGGUUUCCCAUCUGCUUAAGCUGCCUCCUCCCACAUCUCCUGAGCCUCCAGGACUGACUUAAUGACGGAUCUUGAGACCAGUGGGCUCCAGGGGUCAGGUGACCAACACGGGAAGCCUACAGUGGGCUGGAGAUGUGGUGCAGGGGUCCUGAGUCCACAGGCAGCUGAGAGCCGCGUCCAUCCCAGGCAUGAAAGGGGUGCCACAGAACCAAGAAGGCAAGUUAAAAGGGGCAACCCCCCCACUCAAGGAGGCAAUCAGCUCAGAUUCUCUGCUGGUGGCCUCAGGAAAGUUUAAGACGACUGCCUGCUUUCCAGAAACCCAAGCAGGAGUCCGGCUGGGAGUUUCACCAUGUGGCAGGCGCUGUUAGGGUCCUGGGAGUAAGCACACCCUGAAGAUCCUGGCCGACUCAUGCCUUCCACCCCCUCCCCAGGUUCUCAAAUGCUGGCAUAUUAAUGGCUUUGGGGCUCAUCUUUUAAUUAUCAGUGGUGUUUGAGGGUGGGAAGGGUCCUGUGAUUUUGUUCCUAUUUAAAAGUCCUCACUUAGCAACCCCCAGAACUGCUCUUCUUUCACUCUUCAAUGACUGCGUGGGGUAGUGGGGUAGGUUUCUGUGGGAUCACCAUUUUCAGAGGUGCUCAACCUCAUCCUGGUUCCUAAUCCGGGCGACCUCUGGGUCACCUCCACCCAAAGGGGUGGAAUCACCCCACCCAGCCACCUAGACAUCCUUCGAGAUUUUUUGGGGAUGUUGGACAAGAGUUGGUUUUGCUAACUUGGAAAACAUGUCUAAUUCUGACCCAUGAUGCCAGGGAACCUUUAGCCAAGAGAUAAGUUAAGGGAGGAAGUUUUCUACUAAUAAAAUUUUCUGGCUCCAACCACCUCGCUUCUCCCUUAGUUUUCUUCCACUUGGCUGAAAGUCUGGCUAAAGCUGGAAUUAAAGUUUAAUUGGAGUGAUCUGAUCUUGAUUGAUCUGCCUUGGGGUGAGAAAUGUCCACAAUUCGGGACACAUAAGGGCAGACUUGAGGCACACCUGCUCUAGAGACAAGAAUGGGCUCUGGGGAGCUCAAGGGUCAGGACAGAAGGGGGAUUCAGGCGGGCUGCAGGACACAUGGGAGAGGGCGACGUUGGGGCGUGAAAGGAGCGUCUACAGGUUCUGAUGCCCGAUCUGAGCUGUAAUGUUCCCUCUGGCACUUGGUUCGCUGAGUGAUCCUAACACACUGCUGGACUCUGAACCUCUCUAACAGCAUUCGGGAGCCAAACAUGGACCCUAAAGCACACCCUUCCAGGGGGUGGCCCUCUGGGGCACCAACAUCCAUCCAUUUCUUGACCUAAGUGGAGCAUCCCAUGGGUGUUGACUUUGUGAUAAUUCCACCGGUUCUACCCCUAUGACAUGGCACCAUUCUACCUUUGGUAAUCUUGAGUAAGUGUGAAUGUUCAGUGGUCCUGGAACAAGUCAGGUGCGUGCCGGACGGGGAAAUGUGUGCUCUCAGUCCUCAGCCCUCGGAGAAGGAACCCAAGAGGUGUGACUCGCCCUUGCCCUGGGUAUAGGGUCGAACAAAGAAACUUUCCACAAAGCAGCCCUAUCUGCAGCCCGCUUCCCAAAGCUGCCUUCAACUUUCAACCCCGCUCAAUGGACUGCUCGCAGGGAUGGAGGCAAAGACUUAAAGGGGGAGCAAAUGAAACCUCAGCUCCAGCCCCAAAAUUAGAAGUGUGGGCGAAGAAGCGAGUGGCCCUGCCCUGUGGACGCCAGUUCACCUCAUUAUGAUAAUCAGUGUGUUUUUCCUUUGCAGACAAAGAAGGCUCCUUAUGAGACGAAUAUUGGAAUCCAGCGGCUACCUCAUUAACGUCUGCAGCCUCCUCCUUGACAGGGCCUAAGAUUAGCCCUGUGUUCAUUAAGGGAAAAGGGCGGAAAGUGGAAUAAAACUGAAAAACACAGCUGGGGGGAGGGGUGGGCUCUUUCUGUCAGCCAUUCAUUCAUUGAAAGACUCCUGUGCACCUUGGGGAUUUAAUCACCAGCAAAGGGGGGGCAGGGGGGUCUAACCAGGAUGCAGGAGGUAAAGAGGUUAAACUUGAUAGAAGGAGUUAAAAACCCAAAAUGGGGCAAUUUGAUUUGAAAGCUUCCUGGGAUUUGUCACUGGGAUAAUCAAUUUAAAACCUUUUUCCUGUUUACUUUCUUUCAGCCGAAACUGAAAACCUUUCUCUGGAUGUCUUUUUUGGUAGAUUUUAAUAUUCUCUAAACCUCUCCCCCCUACUUUUUUGUCUUUAGUGGGUUUUUCUGUAAAUUCUUUUCUUCUUUCUCUCCCACUCCCCCCCCCCCCCCCCGCCCCUCUCCACCUCUUUCUUCUCGCUUUGGUCCUCCCCAUGGGAACGGUUUCAACCUGUAAGGAAAUCUAAUGGGGACUCCAAUUAUAUUUUCUCCUGAAUACCUGAUUGACUUUAUUUUAAGUCUUUCAAAUCGUCUCUGGUUCUUACCUGCAAGAUAGCCCACCUCACCUGCCAGGUAAAGACGAUUAACCCUAUUUUACAACUGAGAAAAAGGUGGCUUGGGAAAACUGACCUACCUCAAGGCCCCAGCACUAAGUGGGCUAGCCAAGGCUCGAACCCAGGGCGAGAUGGCAAGAGGCAGCUUCCAGACAUUAGGAGAUCCGGAUAUGCAAGUUUCUGGGAAAACUAAGAAAUGAGGGAAGCCAGGAGCAGGUGUCCCCGUGAGGUCUACAGGGAGUGUGUCAACAGAAGUGAACCGGAGCCGAAAAGCUAUGUAAGAGAAAGAAUGAGUCCCUGUGUCCAAGAGCCAGACACGUGGCCAAGGUGAAGCUCCAGAAAAGUUAUUACCUUAGUGAGAGCCGCUCGAUGGAGUAGAGCAAGUCAGGAGGCAGUGGGUUGAAGAGGAAAUUGGAGGUGAGGAAGGAAGACAGCAAGUGAAGACAGGCCUUUCGAGAAGCUUGGCUGCGAAAGGAAAGAGAGAAACGGUAGUGGCUAGAAAGGAGGACAGAAGGGACCUGGGAGGCUGUGGAGAGAGCAAAGUUAGGAAUUCAGAGGAUAACCGAUGGUGGGAGGUCCAGGGCUGAGAUAGGAGGGACCAGAGCAGAGGGCACCCCUUCCUUUACAAGGUGAGAGGCGAUGGGGGUACACAUGUACGGUGGGACCCCAAUCUGAAAGGCCGCUUGAUGGCUCUGUUCCCCUAGAAGGUGCAGGCCAGCCCCGGGCCGGGACAGGGAGUUGUGAGGUUCAAAUGAAUUGUCGGUUGCCAGAAAGGGCUCUGCAUACUACACAGGAGACAGAAACGGGCACCGUAAUUACUCACUGGUAGCGGGACGCUCAAUUUUACAGCCCACUCCAAUCUCACCGGGGCCUGGACUUUCACUGACCAUAAAUUAUGCGUCCUUACAUUAAGGAUGUAAAAACCAGUGGUAAAAGCUCCUGCCAGCCUCUGGAAGACAAAAGGUGGCCUCCUAAUAGCCUGGAUUAACUCAAAGCAGAUCUCCGCCCACUUCAUUUGUCACCUUCCAAGUCAUCCUUCCACCUUCAUUUGCCACAUAAUCCAAUCAGGCCCUUUCAGAUGCCUGGGAGCUAUUGUCCACACCAAGCUGGGCUUCUGCAAGGCGGCCUGAGUUGUUUUUGUCUUGUCCGGACAAAACUGGUUGGCUUAAAAGGGGACGAAAGAAAGUGCUGGUCAAAUGAGGACCCCAAUUAGCUUCCAAGAGACUGUUUUCAUCAUCUUUGUAUCACAUCCCAGGCCUGGUGUGCUGGGCAUAUUGUCAGGGUUCCAGAAAAUGUUUGUUGAAUUAAUUCCGUUUUUAUUUCUUCUGGAAUUUACUUAUGGAGUGCAAACACACACAGCACCUACUGGGUGCUGGCUGUUACUACUGCGGGAGAAGAGGGCUGGGCAUGUGAAGGACGGAGGACAGCCUCCGGGGGAUAAGUAUCUCGCAAUUUCCACAGCAAUUUACAAAGCACUUUCAUAGCAGUUACAUCAUUUGGUCUUCAAAAGCGCCCUGUGGGGUAGAUAAACGCGGAGGUUUUUUUUUUUUUUUUUUUUUAAUCCCCAUUUAGACCAUGAAAGGAACUGAGACUCGGAGAAGUUAAGCGACUUGUUUAAGGUCACACUGUUACUGGGAGGUGGAGCCAGCACAGGGUACCAGCUCUGGGGCCACCCAGACCCCAAGACCACCCUGGGCAGCUGGGAUUUCAAAGAGACUGUCCCUUUGUCAAAUGUCUGACUGGACGUCAAAGGGCUUUUAAUAUAACUCUGGGCUAGGGGGUACAGGGCGGCUACAAUGGCACCCAGGAUCCAACUAUGACCUCUUCUCUUGCCAGCAGUGUGACAAAAUACUUACAUCCCUCCAGCCUCGGCGUCCAUCCUCACUGCCAACGUGGGUGACCCCUAUCCCGUGGGAGGGGCACUCAGCUUUCAUGAGUCCUCUUCCCCACCCACCUUUUGAAAAUUACUCAAAUCAAUGACAAAUUCAUUCUCAUCUGUAAAUGAGGCCGCCUCAUACACAUACUCCUAUGACAUAGAAAGAACAUUCAUCUACAUAGAAAGUGCUCUGGAAAUGACCGCAUGCAUAAUUCGUAUUCCUUCAGGUCAGCCCAGGACCCUCUGGUGGAGCCCCUACCUGAUGCAAGGAGAGCCUGGGGGACAGGGGCUGUCCGGAGUGCUGUGGGAGAACAAGUACGACAAGUGAGAGAGGUAGGAAUGGAUUGACCUGCCAAAUUUUUUCAACAAACAUUUGCUGACCGCAUCCUCUAUGCCCAGCCCUGCCCAAGGCUGCCUUCUCUCAUUUAAUACUCACAACAACCCUAGGAGGUUGCACUUCUCAUCCCCAUUGCCCAGAAAGGACGGGGGAUCUCGAAAGAGGGGAGCAUGCCUUUGGCAGUUCAGUAGCAUGACAUGAGGGCUCAUGCUCAUUCCACAAGCCCACCCUGGGCCUUGGAAUCGCCAGUGAGAUGCUAGAGGAGCCUCUGGCCUAGGUCCCCCUCCUGAGGAGUUCCCAAAGGGAUCUUUCCGUUCAGGACAUCAUAAGGGCAACAGCAGGGUCAGUGGAGAAAGACUGACGCCACCCUGAGGGAAGCGCUCCAGGUCGCCGGCACAUUAACACAGCAGAGACUUAUGGGAAAGUAUUCACAGAGACCAAGCACAAGCGUAGCAAAGAUCAGGGGUUAGCAGCCAGUGCCCCCUCACUAGGGCACUGGUUCAAGCCUUUAGCCAAGAGGGACAGCUGGCUUGUCAGUCCUGGUCCUCUUCAUCCCUCGUCGUCCUGGUCCUGGGGGUCUCUGCCAGCGGCUGCUUUGUAUGCUGGGGGGAUCCAGGAAUCGGUGCUCCUAGUGUCCUCUGCAAUUGAUCAAAGGUUAGAGGAGCCACUUAAAAGCCCAAGUCUACAUAUUAAUUAAAAUUUAAAUGAAUUAAUCACAACUAAAACUAAUUAGUUAAAAUUUAACAUUGUCUUUUAAUUGCUAAUGGGUCUGGGGGCGGUGCAAGGAGGGUGGCAGGGAUGGGGAAUUGUGCCCACCAUGUUGGGUAUAAACAGCCACAGGAGGGGUUAGGUACCAUGAGGUGGAGACGAGCCGCAAGCAGCUUGGCAACAGCUUGGCAUGGAGAGGUGGUCCUUGAAGACAAGGCGAACGGAUGAUGUCAUCCCUGAAGAGAGGCCCUAUGGCACCGGAGGGGGCCAGAUUAGAAACCAUCUUAAUGACCUCUAACGGCCAGCACAGGAACAGCAGAGAGAGGGAGGGGACAGUCAGAGGGAGAGGGAGGGGGGAGUAGGAGAGAGGAGGGAGGUGGGAGGGGUUGAGAGGGAAGAGGGAAGGGUAUGGAGAGAGGAGGCAGGAGGGAGGAGGGGGAGGGAACGGGAGAGAGGAAGGGGAGGGGAAAGUAGGAAUGAGGAAAACGGGAGGGGAGGGGGAAGAGGAGAAACGGGAGGGGGAGGAGGGAGAGAAGCGGAAGGGGGAGGAGGGAGAGAAGUGGGAGGGGGUAAGGAAGACUUGACUGACAGGGCACAAGUGUUAGCUGUGUGCGCAUGCGCAACCUGAAGGCCCGUUUAGCGGGCCGAGAGCCAUUUGCAGGCACAGACCGCUAGGGGGCGUCCGGCCAGCAUCCAGAGCCCAAGAGCACAGCCACCUGCGGCGCGCGCCUCGCCGGAGCCUCCCGCGCCCCCGCCCGCGCCUGGCCCGCAGCUGCCAGGGACACAGCUGGCGUAGGAUGGGCGGGGGGCUGCCCAACAGGUCUCUGGCCGGGAGGGGGGGGCACAGCCCACCCCAGCCCAUCACGCAGGGCCACCAUGUCCCCUAAACGCCACGCCCGCCAUCACUAGCCAGAAUCCACCUGUGGACUUCGGGCAGCACUACCUCACAAGCCCAGGGGGCCUUCUGCGCCCCCCUAACUGUGGGGGGGGGGGGUCAACCUACACCAGAGAGACACUCGCCAGAAGGAUCUUUCCAGAACACGAUUCCACUUUUAAUAAGCAAAAACAGAGAGAUCUUGGUCCCGACCUUCGGUAAAUCCAAUUAAAGAUAAAUUAAUUAAAAUUAUAAAGGGCCAGUUCUCAAUACACCGUUUUCACUCACUUUUGUGGUCUCAGGACACAUGAUACAAAAUAUGACAACCUUAGAAAAUAUAAAGACGGCCAAAAUCGUCUAAUAUCAUCCAGACAACCAACGACCCCCCCCCAAAUCUCGCCUCCAUUCUUCGCCAAGACCCCUCACGAUAGCGCCUAAUUAACCAUUUUACCAGCCCUCUUCAGCCUACUCAAAUGAGCCACGUCUUCCUAAGACCCCCUAAACCAUCAUCCAUUGAAAUAAACUGAUCUGCGUCCACGCUCUUCCACGACACCCUAAGUCGCGCAACCAACGCGGAUCACGGCAUCUCUGCUCAGCGCGAAUCCUGCAGCCUCUCUUCCCCGUGAACCCUGGCAUCUUAAAACAUUUCCCCCUUAGGUAAAUGAAUCCAGAAUUCUCCAGUAAAUCCCGCGCACGACCCCCUCCAGCAGGAGAACAAAGGCCACCUCCCCUCCCC
This 17183-nucleotide long non-coding RNA is filed under the name Equus caballus (horse). Its description in RNAcentral is "lncRNA (ENSECAG00000049353.1)". Lineage: Eukaryota; Metazoa; Chordata; Mammalia; Perissodactyla; Equidae. The record is from RNAcentral.